GUUCAUUCGGUCGCCUUUCAAUUCACGAUUGCUAUUUUGGAUCCAAGUAGGAUAUGUUGAGAUUUAUGAGCUAAAAGAUUUGUGUCACAGAUUCUGGUUCGCAGAUGAGAAGCGCGAAAAGGCCAUGCGCGCAUGUAUUGGCCCAAUUUUUUAGAGAUGAAGGGACGUUGGUCAUCAAAUCAACUGUUUCCUUUGAACCGGACGUGUAAAUUGCGUUGCUAAUAAAUCAUGGUUGAUUGAAGAUCAACUUGGGUUGACAACUGAAACUUUUAAACGGUAGACGGUUGACGGCUAAAAUGCUCUCAUCUAACAAUUCUGUAUGUCGAAACCCAUCAGUC
This 338-nucleotide long non-coding RNA is filed under the name Elaeis guineensis (African oil palm). Its description in RNAcentral is "long non-coding RNA (EGUI_LNC002179)". Lineage: Eukaryota; Viridiplantae; Streptophyta; Magnoliopsida; Arecales; Arecaceae. The record is from RNAcentral.